UAAAAAGCUCGUAGUUGGAUCUGUGUAUCGAACGGUCGGUUCGCCGCUCGCGGUGUUUGACUGACCGGUUCGGACGUCAUGCCGGUGGGACCUCGGCGCAAGUCGGGGUUCCGUAACUUACCCUCCGCGCUGCUCUUUAUUGAGUGGUUCGGUGGGCCGGCACGUUUACUUUGAACAAAUUUGAGUGCUCAAAGCAGGCCUUAUGUUGCCUGGAAACUGUGUGCAUGGAAUAAUGAAAGAAGACCUUGGUUCUAUUUUGUUGGCUUUUCUGAACUCGAGGUAAUGAUUAACAGGGACAGACGGGGGCAUUCGUAUUGCGACGUUAGAGGUGAAAUUCUUGGAUCGUCGCAAGACGGACCGAUGCGAAAGCGUUUGCCAAGAAUGUUUUCGCUAAUCAAGAACGAAAGUUAGAGGUUCGAAGGCGAUUAGAUACCGCCCUAGUUCUAACCAUAAACGAUGUCAGCCAGCGAUGCGCCGAUGUUCCUCCGAUGACACGGCGCGCAACUUCCGGGAAACCAAAGCUUUUGGGUUCCGGGG
This 537-nucleotide ribosomal RNA is filed under the name Rhithrogena minazuki. RNAcentral's name for it is "SSU rRNA". It matches the Rfam family "Eukaryotic small subunit ribosomal RNA", at positions 620 to 1119 of the family's 1831-position model. Lineage: Eukaryota; Metazoa; Arthropoda; Insecta; Ephemeroptera; Heptageniidae. The record is from RNAcentral.